This 476-nucleotide ribosomal RNA is filed under the name uncultured bacterium. RNAcentral's name for it is "bacterial SSU rRNA". It matches the Rfam family "Bacterial small subunit ribosomal RNA", at positions 24 to 518 of the family's 1533-position model. The record is from RNAcentral.
UCAGGACGAACGCUGGCGGCGUGCCUAACACAUGCAAGUCGAGCGAUGAAAUCCUUCGGGAUGGAUUAGCGGCGGACGGGUGAGUAACACGUGGGUAACCUGCCUUGUAGAGGGGGAUAGCCUUCCGAAAGGAAGAUUAAUACCGCAUAACAUCUUUUUAUCGCAUGGUAGAAAGAUCAAAGGAGUAAUCCGCUACAAGAUGGACCCGCGGCGCAUUAGCUAGUUGGUGAGGUAACGGCUCACCAAGGCGACGAUGCGUAGCCGACCUGAGAGGGUGAUCGGCCACAUUGGAACUGAGACACGGUCCAGACUCCUACGGGAGGCAGCAGUGGGGAAUAUUGCGCAAUGGGGGGAAACCCUGACGCAGCAACGCCGCGUGAAUGAAGAAGGCCUUAGGGUUGUAAAGUUCUGUUUACGGGGACGAUAAUGACGGUACCCGUGGAGGAAGCCACGGCUAACUACGUGCCAGCCGCCGC